Molecule: ribosomal RNA, 3007 nt
Filed under: Vampirovibrio sp.
Lineage: Bacteria; Bacillati; Candidatus Melainabacteria; Vampirovibriophyceae; Vampirovibrionales; Vampirovibrionaceae
Description: 23S ribosomal RNA
Rfam family: Bacterial large subunit ribosomal RNA
Source: RNAcentral
AGGUAAAGCUAUUAAGAGCGUACGGUGGAUGCCUAGGUACAAGUAGCCGAUGAAGGACGUGAGAAACGACGAAAUGCGACGGGGAGCUGUAUUAAGCCUUGAUCCGUUGAUGUCCGAAUGGGGAAACCCACCACGAGUUAAGUUGUGGUAUCGCAAGAUGAAUACAUAGUCUUGUCGAAGGUAAGCUAGUGAACUGAAACAUCUUAGUAACUAGAGGAAAAUAAAUCAAAUUAGAGAUUCCCCCAGUAGCGGCGAGCGAACGGGGAAGAGCCUAAACCGAUGAUAUGUGAUACAUUGCAGUGGUUGUAUUAUCGGGGUUGUGGGACGUAUUGUUCACUUUCUGCUAGAAGUGACUGAAGUAAGAAAAUCGUUUGAUAGAUUAACACAGUUGGGAAGCUGGGCCAUAGAGCGUGAUAGCCGUUUGAUUUAAAUUGAGUGAUCUUCAGUGAUAUGCUCCCGAGUAGUGCGUUACACGUGAAAUUCCGCACGAAUCCGCGAGGACCAUCUCGUAAGGCUAAAUACUACUUGUGACCGAUAGUGAACCAGUACGGUGACGGAAAGGUGAAAAGAACGGUGUAAAGCCGAGUGAAAUAGAAACUGAAACCGUACGCUUACAAGCAGUCAGAGCCUUAUUGAUAGGGUGAUGGCGUGCCUGUUGAAGAAUGAGCCAGCGAGUUAACGUUUGUAGUAAGGUUAAGAUGGUAAGAAGUCGUAGCCGUAGGGAAACCGAGUCCUAAUUGGGCGUUUUAAUUACAGGCGUUAGACCCGAACCCGGGUGAUCUAACCAUGGCCAGCGUGAAGCGUAGGUAAUACUACGUGGAGGUGCGAACUGAUGAAUGUUGAAAAAUUCUCGGAUGAGUUGUGGUUAGGGGUGAAAUGCCAAUCGAACCCGGAGCUAGCUGGUUCUCCCCGAAAUGCAUUGAGGUGCAGCGUCAGACGUAUCUUACAGGGGGUAGAGCACUAAUUCGGUGCGGGCUUCGUCUAGAGGUACCAAAUCGAGGUAAACUCCGAAUACCUGUAAAGUGAUAUCUGGCAGUGAGACAGCGAGUGAUAAGAUCCGUUGUCAAGAGGGAAACAGCCCAGACCAUCAGCUAAGGUCCCUAAUUUUACACUAAGUGAUAAACGAGGUGUUAUUUCAUAGACAACCAGUAGGUUGGCUUAGAAGCAGCCAUCCUUUAAAGAGUGCGUAAUAGCUCACUGGUCAAGAGAUAGCGCGCGGAAAAUUUACGGGGCUAAGUGUAGAACCGAAGCUAUGGCAUCCGUCCUAGGGACGUGAUGGGUAGGGGAGCGUUGUGUAGUAGGAUGAAGCAUGACCGGCAAGGACAUGUGGACGAAUCACAAGUGAGAAUGCUGGCUUGAGUAGCGAAAACAGUAGUGAGAAUCUACUGCAUCGAAAAUCUAAGGUUUCCAACGGCAGGCUCGUCCGCGUUGGGUUAGUCGGGAUCUAAGGCGAGGCUGAAGAGCGUAGUCGAUGACGAUCAGGUUGAUAUUCCUGAACUAAUUUUAUAUUGUUUGAGUAGCGGCAUGACGCAGAAGUUUAUGUGAGCGGAUGAUUGGUUGAGUUCGUACAAGCGUGUAGCUAGUUGUGGUAGGUAAAUCCGCCAUGAUGUUGAUGUGAGGCGUGAUGUGGAGGUUCUACGGAACCGAAGUUACAGAUAGCACACUGCCGAGAAAAGUGUCGUAUAUGAGAUAUUGAAUUACCCGUACCGUAAACCGCCACAGGUGGAUUGGUAGAGAAUACCGAGAUGCGCGAGAUAACCCUCCUUAAGGAACUCGGCAAAAUAGCCUCGUAACUUCGGGAGAAGAGGUGCCCUAUUAUCGUGAAGGCUGUACAGCUGGAGCGAGAGAGGGUUGCAGUGAAAUGUCCCAGGCGACUGUUUACCAAAAACACAGGUCUCUGCAAAGUCGUAAGACGACGUAUAGGGGCUGACGCCUGCCCGGUGUCGGAAGGUUACGGGGAGCGGUUAGUAGUUUACUACGAAGCUGUGAACCUAAGCCCCGAUGAACGGCGGCCGUAACUAUAACGGUCCUAAGGUAGCGAAAUUCCUUGUCAGGUAAGUUCUGACCCGCACGAAUGGCGUAACGAUCUGGGAACUGUCUCAAGGAGGGACUCGGCGAAAUAGGAAUGGCUGUGAAGAUACGGCCUACGUAUGCCAGGACAGAAAGACCCUAUUGAGCUUUACUCUAACUUGUAAUUGAGAUUUGAUGAACAUUGCGCAGGAUAGGUGGGAGACUUUGAAGUAGUGAUUUUGGUUGCUAUGGAGUCAUUGUUGAGAUACCACUCUUUGUUUAUUGGGUUUCUAACCAAUUGCCAUGAAGCUGGCGUUGGGACAGUUGCAGGCGGGGAGUUUGACUGGGGCGGUCGCCUCCUAAAGAGUAACGGAGGCGUCCAAAGGUUCCCUCAGAUCGUAUGGAAAUCGAUCGUAGAGUGCAAAGGCAUAAGGGAGCUUGACUGCGAGACAAACAAGUCGAGCAGGGACGAAAGUCGGGCUUAGUGAUCCUGCGGUUGAGAAUGGAAUCGCCGUGGCUCAUCGGAUAAAAGUUACCAUAGGGAUAACAGGCUGAUCUCCCCCAAGAGUCCACAUCGACGGGGAGGUUUGGCACCUCGAUGUCGGCUCGUCGCAUCCUGGAGCGGUAGUACGUUCCAAGGGUUGGGCUGUUCGCCCAUUAAAGCGGUACGUGAGCUGGGUUCAGAACGUCGUGAGACAGUUCGGUCCAUAUCCGGCAUGUGCGCAAGAGAUUUGAGUGGAGCCGUCUUUAGUACGAGAGGACCGAGACGGAUAGGCCAACGGUGUACCAGUUAUCGUGCCAACGGUAAAUGCUGGGUAGCUGCGCCUGUCGAGGAUAAGUGCUGAAAGCAUCUAAGUACGAAGCCCACCACAAGAUGAGAUCUCUCACGCGGUUAACGCGGUAAGUCUCCUGGAAGAUAAUCAGGUUGAUAGGUCAUAAGUGGAAGUCUGGUAACAGAUGGAGCUGAGUGAUACUAAUAAGACGAGGGCUUUUCCUU